CCUAGACAACCAGGAUGUUGGCUUAGAAGCAGCCAUGCAUUUAAAGAGUGCGUAAUAGCUCACUGGUCGAGUGGACAUGCGCCGACAAUUAACGGGGCUCAAGCAUAACACCGAAGCAGCGGACUAAUUUAUUAGUGGUAGGGGAGCUUUCUGUGUACGUUGAAGUUCAACUGUGAGGUUGGGUGGAGAGCACAGAAGUGAGAAUGCUGGCAUGAGUAACGAGAGAUGGGUGAAAAACCCAUCCGCCGUAAGCCCAAGGGUUCCUGGGGAAGGCUAAUCCCCCCAGGGUUAGUCGGGAGCUAAGCUAAGGCCGAGAGGCGUAGGCGAUGCACAACAGGUUUAUAUUCCUGUACCACUGCGGGUCGUUAUACCGAUGGAGUGACGGAGAAGGGCAGCCGAGCGGGGUUCUGGACGUCCCCGUGAAAGCGUGUAGGGAGAUUUCGCAUGGAAAUCAGCGGAAUCGCUAAUCUCGAGACGUGAGACGAAGCACACUGGUGUGAAGUCGGUCAUCCCAUGCUUCCGAGAAAAGCUUCUAGGAAGACUUUGCAGUGCCCGUACCAAAACCGACACAGGUGGGCGGGUAGAGUAUACCAAGGCGAUCGGGAGAACUAAGUUUAAGGAACUCGGCAAAAUGACCCCGUAACUUCGGGAGAAGGGGUGCCGCUUGUUGUGAUGAGACUUGCUCUCUGAGCGAUGGGCGGCCGCAGUGAAUAGGCCCAAGCGACUGUUUAUCAAAAACACAGGACUCUGCUCUAAGUCGUAAGACGAUGCAUAGGGUCUGACGCCUGCCCGGUGCUGGAAGGUUACGUGGAUGGGUUAGCUUUUAGCGAAGCCUUGAAAUUAAGCCCCAGUAAACGGCGGCCGUAACUAUAACGGUCCUAAGGUAGCGAAAUUCCUUGUCGGGUAAGUUCCGACCUGCACGAAUGGCGUAACGACUUGGGCGCUGUCUCAAACUUAGACCCGGUGAAAUUGCAUUGUCCGUGAAGAUGCGGACUCCCUGCGGAAGGACGGAAAGACCCCGUGAACCUUUACUGCAGCUUGGCAUUGACAUCUGGUACAGCGUGUAGAGGAUAGGCAGGAGACUGUGAAGUGGGGGCGCAAGCCCUCAUGGAGUCACCCUUGGAAUACUGCCCUCGCUGUGCUGGCUGUCUAACUCGCAGCCGUGAUCCGGCGCGAGGACCGUGCCAGGUGGGUAGUUUGACUGGGGCGGUCGCCUCCUAAAAUGUAACGGAGGCGCGCGUAAGGUCCACUCAAGACGGUUGGCAAUCGUGCUUGAGAGCGCAAGAGCGUAAGUGGGCUUGACUGCGAGACCUACAAGUCGAGCAGGUGCGAAAGCAGGCUCUAGUGAUCCGGCGGCCCCAUGUGGGAGGGCCGUCGCUCAACGGAUAAAAGGUACUCCGGGGAUAACAGGCUGAUCUUGCCCAAGAGUCCACAUCGACGGCAAGGUUUGGCACCUCGAUGUCGGCUCAUCGCAUCCUGGGGCUGUAGCCGGUCCCAAGGGUAUGGCUGUUCGCCAUUUAAAGCGGUACGCGAGCUGGGUUCAGAACGUCGUGAGACAGUUCGGUCCCUAUCCUCCGCAGGCGCAAGGGAAUUGAAGGAAGCUGCCCCUAGUACGAGAGGACCGGGGUGGACGUACCUCUGGUGUAGCGGUUGUUGACCAACAGCAUCGCCGCAUAGCUACGUACGGAAUGGAUAACCGCUGAAAGCAUCUAAGCGGGAAGCCACACCUAAGAUGAGUUCCCUUUUUGGUAAGGACCCUUAUAGACUAUGAGGUUGAUAGGGCGCAGUUGUAAGUACAGUAAUGUAUUCAGACGAGCGCUACUAAUUGUCCGAGCUUUUUAUUAC
RNAcentral lists this ribosomal RNA (1845 nucleotides) under human gut metagenome. RNAcentral's name for it is "bacterial LSU rRNA". It matches the Rfam family "Bacterial large subunit ribosomal RNA", at positions 1084 to 2925 of the family's 2925-position model. The record is from RNAcentral.